RNAcentral lists this ribosomal RNA (468 nucleotides) under uncultured bacterium. Its description in RNAcentral is "partial 16S ribosomal RNA". It matches the Rfam family "Bacterial small subunit ribosomal RNA", at positions 28 to 507 of the family's 1533-position model. The record is from RNAcentral.
GACGAACGCUGGCGGUGUGCUUAACACAUGCAAGUCGAACGGCAAGACACUGAUUUCGUGGUGUGACCGGGUGCCGAACGCGUGAGUAAGACGAGUGUAACCUGCUCUUGUCUUUGGGAUAACUUAAGGAAACUGGGCCUACUCCCGGACAGCAGAUCCCGUUGCAUGGAGAGGGUUGGAUAGUCUCGGCGGUCGGGGCUGGACUGGCGGCUUAUCAGUUAGUUGGUGGGGUAGUGGCUGACCAAGGCAUUGACUGAUCGCCGGCCUGAGAGGGGGAACGGGGUCAUUGGGACUACGGUACGCCGCAGACUGGUACAGGGGGCAGCAGUGGGGAAUAUUGCACAGUGGUCGGGAGUCUGAUGCAGCGACGCCGCGUUCGUGAUGACGGCCUUCGGGUUGUGAACCGCAUUCGCCUGUGACGACGCUGGAGUGACGGUAAUGGGUAAAGAAGCACCGGCUAACUACGUG